GAUGAACGCUAGCCACAGGCUUAACACAUGCAAGUCGAGGGGUAGCAGGGUAGCAAUACCGCUGACGACCGGCGCACGGGUGAGUAACACGUAUCCAACCUUCCCAUAACUCAGGGAUAGCCUUUCGAAAGAAAGAUUAUUACCUGAUAGUACUUAAGAAAGGCAUCUUUUUUAAGUUAAAGAUUUAUUGGUUAUGGAUGGGGAUGCGUUCCAUUAGAUAGUUGGUGAGGUAACGGCUCACCAAGUCUUCGAUGGAUAGGGGUUCUGAGAGGAAGGUCCCCCACAUUGGUACUGAGACACGGACCAAACUCCUACGGGAGGCAGCAGUGAGGAAUAUUGGUCAAUGGGCGAGAGCCUGAACCAGCCAAGUAGCGUGAAGGAUGAAGGUCCUAUGGAUUGUAAACUUCUUUUAUAGUAGAAUAAAGUGAGCCACGUGUGGUUUUUUGUAUGUAUACUAUGAAUAAGGAUCGGCUAACUCCGUGCCAGCAGCCGCCGUAA
Molecule: ribosomal RNA, 498 nt
Filed under: uncultured bacterium
Lineage: Bacteria
Description: partial 16S ribosomal RNA
Rfam family: Bacterial small subunit ribosomal RNA
Source: RNAcentral